This 237-nucleotide ribosomal RNA is filed under the name uncultured bacterium. RNAcentral describes it as "partial 16S ribosomal RNA". It matches the Rfam family "Bacterial small subunit ribosomal RNA", at positions 116 to 354 of the family's 1533-position model. The record is from RNAcentral.
CGUGGAUAACCUGCCAUAUACAGGGGGAUAACACUUAGAAAUAGGUGCUAAUACCGCAUAAGCGCACAGCUUCGCAUGAAGGAGUGUGAAAACUAAGGUGGUAUAUGAUGGAUCCGCGUCUGAUUAGCCAGUUGGUGAGGUAACGGCUCACCAAAGCGACGAUCAGUAGCCGGCCUGAGAGGGCGGACGGCCACAUUGGGACUGAGACACGGCCCAGACUCCUACGGGAGGCAGCAG